CCUACGGGGUGCAGCAGUGGGGGAUAUUGCACAAUGGGGGCAACCCUGCUGCAGCGACGCCGCGUGAGCGAUGGAGUACUUCGGUAUGUAAAGCUCUUUCAGCAGGGAAGACAAUUACGGUACCUGACCAAGAAGCCCCGGCUAAAUACGUGCCAGCAGCCGCGGUAAUCCGUAUGGGGCAAGCGUUAUCCAGAUUUACUGGGUGUAAAGGGAGCGUAGGCGGCAGGGCAAGCCUGAUGUGAAUGCCCGGGGCUCAACCCCUGGACUGCAUUGGGAACUGCCCCGCUCGAGUGCCGUAGGGGCAGGCGGAAUUCCUAGGGUAGCGGUGAAAUGCGUAGAUAUUAGGAGGAACACCAGUGGCGAAGGCGGCCUGCUGGACGGUGUACUGACGCUGAGGCUCGAAAGCGUGGGGAGCAAACAGGAUUAGAUACCCGGGUAGUC
RNAcentral lists this ribosomal RNA (441 nucleotides) under uncultured bacterium. RNAcentral describes it as "partial 16S ribosomal RNA". It matches the Rfam family "Bacterial small subunit ribosomal RNA", at positions 338 to 795 of the family's 1533-position model. The record is from RNAcentral.